GACGAACGCUGGCGGCGUGCUUAACACAUGCAAGUCGAACGCUGAAGCUCAGCUUUUGUUGGGUGGAUGAGUGGCGAACGGGUGAGUAACACGUGAGUAACCUGCCCCCUUCUUUGGGAUAACGCCCGGAAACGGGUGCUAAUACUGGAUAUUCACUGGUCUUCGCAUGGGGGUUGGUGGAAAGGGUUUUUCUGGUGGGGGAUGGGCUCGCGGCCUAUCAGCUUGUUGGUGGGGUGAUGGCCUACCAAGGCUUUGACGGGUAGCCGGCCUGAGAGGGUGACCGGUCACAUUGGAACUGAGAUACGGCCCAGACUCCUACAGGAGGCAGCAGUGGGGAAUAUUGAACAAUGGGCGCAAGCCUGAUGCAGCGACGCCGCGUGAGGGAUGGAGGCCUUCGGGUUGUGAACCUCUUUCGCUCAUGGUCAAGCCGCAACAAUGGUUGUGGUGAGGGUAGUGGGUAAAGAAGCGCCGGCCAACUACGUG
RNAcentral lists this ribosomal RNA (483 nucleotides) under uncultured bacterium. Its description in RNAcentral is "partial 16S ribosomal RNA". It matches the Rfam family "Bacterial small subunit ribosomal RNA", at positions 28 to 507 of the family's 1533-position model. The record is from RNAcentral.